Molecule: unclassified non-coding RNA, 343 nt
Filed under: soil metagenome
Description: partial contains 5.8S ribosomal RNA, internal transcribed spacer 2, and large subunit ribosomal RNA
Rfam family: 5.8S ribosomal RNA (bases 1-120)
Source: RNAcentral
GAUGAAGAACGCAGCGAAAUGCGAUAAGUAAUGUGAAUUGCAGAAUUCAGUGAAUCAUCGAAUCUUUGAACGCACAUUGCGCCCGCCAGCAUUCUGGCGGGCAUGCCUGUUCGUGCGUCAUUUCAACCCUCGAGCCCCCCCGGGGGCCUCGGUGUUGGGGGACGGCACACCAGCCGCCCCCGAAAUGCAGUGGCGACCCCGCCGCAGCCUCCCCUGCGUAGUAGCACACACCUCGCACCGGAGCGCGGAGGCGGUCACGCCGUAAAACGCCCAACUUUCUUAGAGUUGACCUCGGAUCAGGUAGGAAUACCCGCUGAACUUAAGCAUAUCAAUAAGCGGAGGA